RNAcentral lists this ribosomal RNA (480 nucleotides) under uncultured bacterium. Its description in RNAcentral is "partial 16S ribosomal RNA". It matches the Rfam family "Bacterial small subunit ribosomal RNA", at positions 30 to 503 of the family's 1533-position model. The record is from RNAcentral.
AUUGAACGCUGGCGGCAGGCCUACCACAUGCAAGUCGAGCGGAUGAAGGGAGCUUGCUCCUGGAUUCAGCGGCGGACGGGUGAGUAAUGCCUAGGAAUCUGCCUGGUAGUGGGGGAUAACGUCCGGAAACGGGCGCUAAUACCGCAUACGUCCUGAGGGAGAAAGUGGGGAAUCUUCGGACCUCACGCUAUCAGAUGAGCCUAGGUCGGAUUAGCUAGUUGGUGGGGUAAAGGCCUACCAAGGCGACGAUCCGUAACUGGUCUGAGAGGAUGAUCAGUCACACUGGAACUGAGACACGGUCCAGACUCCUACGCGAGGCAGCAGUGGGGAAUAUUGGACAAUGGGCGAAAGCCUGAUCCAGCCAUGCCGCGUGUGUGAAGAAGGUCUUCGGAUUGUAAAGCACUUUAAGUUGGGAGGAAGGGCAGUAAGUUAAUACCUUGCUGUUUUGACGUUACCAACAGAAUAAGCACCGGCUAACUU